UACGGAGGGUGCAAGUGUUAUUCGGAAUCACUGGGCGUAAAGAGCACGUAGGCGGAUGGGUAAGUCAGAUGUGAAAUCCCGGGGCUCAACUUCGGAACUGCAUUUGAUACUGCCCGUCUUGAGUGUGGUAGAGGGGGAUGGAAUUCCCGGUGUAGAGGUGAAAUUCGUAGAUAUCGGGAGGAACACCAGAGGCGAAGGCGAUCCCCUGGGCCAUUACUGACGCUGAGGUGCGAAAGCGUGGGGAG
This 245-nucleotide ribosomal RNA is filed under the name uncultured delta proteobacterium. Its description in RNAcentral is "partial 16S ribosomal RNA". It matches the Rfam family "Bacterial small subunit ribosomal RNA", at positions 524 to 768 of the family's 1533-position model. Lineage: Bacteria; Deltaproteobacteria. The record is from RNAcentral.